CACUCCUACGGGAGGCAGCAGUGGGGAAUAUUGGACAAUGGGCGCAAGCCUGAUCCAGCCAUGCCGCGUGAGUGAUGAAGGCCCUAGGGUUGUAAAGCUCUUUCACCGGUGAAGAUAAUGACGGUAACCGGAGAAGAAGCCCCGGCUAACUUCGUGCCAGCAGCCGCGGUAAUACGAAGGGGGCUAGCGUUGUUCGGAUUUACUGGGCGUAAAGCGCACGUAGGCGGACUAUUAAGUCAGGGGUGAAAUCCCGGGGCUCAACCCCGGAACUGCCUUUGAUACUGGUAGUCUUGAGUUCGAGAGAGGUGAGUGGAAUUCCGAGUGUAGAGGUGAAAUUCGUAGAUAUUCGGAGGAACACCAGUGGCGAAGGCGGCUCACUGGCUCGAUACUGACGCUGAGGUGCGAAAGCGUGGGGAGCAAACAGGAUUAGAUACCCGGGUAGUCCCAU
RNAcentral lists this ribosomal RNA (448 nucleotides) under uncultured organism. Its description in RNAcentral is "partial 16S ribosomal RNA". It matches the Rfam family "Bacterial small subunit ribosomal RNA", at positions 334 to 798 of the family's 1533-position model. The record is from RNAcentral.